AGACAUGAUAGAGGCGCGGUGUCUAAGAGUACUAUAUCUGAGGCAAGCACGAUGAGGGUAUAGGAAAGGAGCCACCGCCGAAGCGUAGAGCUGAUGCUUUAAGGCUCUAUGGCUGGGGCUGUAUAGAAUAUAUACAGCACUGUCACAAACGCAUAGUUUGUGGAGAGCUAUCAUGCAA
This 178-nucleotide non-coding RNA is filed under the name Thermobrachium celere. RNAcentral describes it as "Lysine sequence". It matches the Rfam family "Lysine riboswitch aptamer". From Rfam's summary of the family: Riboswitches are metabolite binding domains within certain messenger RNAs that serve as precision sensors for their corresponding targets. Lineage: Bacteria; Bacillati; Bacillota; Clostridia; Eubacteriales; Clostridiaceae. RNAcentral also lists the same sequence under 1 other name. The record is from RNAcentral.